RNAcentral lists this ribosomal RNA (264 nucleotides) under uncultured archaeon. Its description in RNAcentral is "partial 16S ribosomal RNA". It matches the Rfam family "Archaeal small subunit ribosomal RNA", at positions 717 to 982 of the family's 1478-position model. The record is from RNAcentral.
AGUCACUGACAUUAGAUACCCGUGUAGUCCAGGGUGUAAACGCUGCAGACUUGGUGUUGGAAGCCCUUUGGGGGCAUUCAGUGCCGGAGAGAAGUUGUUAAGUCUGCUACUUGGGGAGUACGUCCGCAAGGAUGAAACUUAAAGGAAUUGGCGGGGGAGCACCGCAACGGGAGGAGCGUGCGGUUUAAUUGGAUUCAACACCGUAAACUCACCAGGGAAGACUGUUACAUGAAAGCCGAGAUGAAGACUCUGCUAGAUUUUCAG